CCUACGGGUGGCUGCAGUGGGGAAUAUUGGGCAAUGGGCGAAAGCCUGACCCAGCAACGCCGCGUGAAGGAAGAAGGCUUUCGGGUUGUAAACUUCUUUUGACAGGGAAGAGCAGAAGACGGUACCUGUCGAAUAAGCCACGGCUAACUACGUGCCAGCAGCCGCGGUAAUACGUAGGUGGCAAGCGUUGUCCGGAUUUACUGGGUGUAAAUGGCGUGUAGUCGGGCUGACAAAUCAGGUGUGAAAUCCGGGGGCUCAACCCCCGGAUUGCAUUUGAUACUGGUGGACUUGAGUAUGGGAGAGGCAAGCGGAAUUCCUGGUGUAGCGGUGAAAGGCGUAGAUAUAAGGAGGAACACCAGUGGCGAAGGCGGCCUGCUGGGCGACAACUGACGGUGAGGCGCGAAAGCGUGGGGAGCAAACAGGAUUAGAUACCCGUGUAGUC
RNAcentral lists this ribosomal RNA (442 nucleotides) under uncultured bacterium. RNAcentral describes it as "partial 16S ribosomal RNA". It matches the Rfam family "Bacterial small subunit ribosomal RNA", at positions 338 to 795 of the family's 1533-position model. The record is from RNAcentral.